RNAcentral lists this ribosomal RNA (449 nucleotides) under Levilactobacillus brevis. Its description in RNAcentral is "bacterial SSU rRNA". The record is from RNAcentral. Lineage: Bacteria; Bacillati; Bacillota; Bacilli; Lactobacillales; Lactobacillaceae.
ACAUUUGAGUGAGUGGCGAACUGGUGAGUAACACGUGGGAAACCUGCCCAGAAGCGGGGGAUAACACCUGGAAACAGAUGCUAAUACCGCAUAACAACUUGGACCGCAUGGUCCGAGYUUGAAAGAUGGCUUCGGCUAUCACUUYUGGAUGGUCCCGCGGCGUAUUAGCUAGAUGGUGRGGUAACGGCUCACCAUGGCAAUGAUACGUAGCCGACCUGAGAGGGUAAUCGGCCACAUUGGGACUGAGACACGGCCCAAACUCCUACGGGAGGCAGCAGUAGGGAAUCUUCCACAAUGGACGAAAGUCUGAUGGAGCAACGCCGCGUGAGUGAAGAAGGGUUUCGGCUCGUAAAACUCUGUUGUUAAAGAAGAACAUAUCUGAGAGUANCUGUUCAGGUAUUGACGGUAUUUAACCAGAAAGCCACGGCUAACUACGUGCCAGCAGCCGC